GGGGAAUAUUGCGCAAUGGGCGAAAGCCUGACGCAGCAACGCCGCGUGGGUGAUGGAGGCCUUCGGGUUGUAAAGCCCUGUCGGGUGGAACGAACAGGUCCUGAGGAGGGACUCUGACGGUACCAUCGGAGGAAGCACCGGCUAACUUCGUGCCAGCAGCCGCGGUAAUACGAAGGGUGCAAGCGUUGCUCGGAAUUAUUGGGCGUAAAGCGUACGCAGGCGGUCUCGCAAGUCGGGCGUGAAAGUCCGGGGCUCAACUCCGGGAAGUCGCACGAAACUAGGAGACUUGAGUUCGGGAGAGGGGUGUGGAAUUCCCAGUGUAGAAGUGAAAUUCGUAGAUAUUGGGAGGAACACCGGUGGCGAAGGCGACACCCUGGCCCGAAACUGACGCUCAUGUACGAAAGCGUGGGUAGCAAAC
Molecule: ribosomal RNA, 418 nt
Filed under: uncultured bacterium
Lineage: Bacteria
Description: bacterial SSU rRNA
Rfam family: Bacterial small subunit ribosomal RNA
Source: RNAcentral